CAGCUGGAGCAGGCCAGGUCUGAUUGGGAGGUCUCUUGGCCAGAGGGUUGGGGCAGGAAGAGGAGGGGCUGAAGGCUGGAGGAAAUGCCUGUUGUCUCAGGUAACCAGAGAAGCUGAUGCAUCCACCCAAGAGGGACCCUGGGCUCCAGGUCAAAGCCAAGAGGAUCCCUUAGCAGCACUGACCCUCCUGACGUUCCUGAAACUUGGCUGCCUCUAAAGCUCCUGAAGCCCCAGUGAUGGACGAACCAGGGAUAAUGGACUCCCCGCUUUGCCUGCCAUAUCACCUUGUACAGUCCGAUCCAG
Long non-coding RNA from Apodemus sylvaticus (European woodmouse), 303 nucleotides. RefSeq lists it as uncharacterized. The transcript is spliced from 3 exons. The record is from RefSeq and is a predicted model, not a curated record. NCBI's taxonomy places the organism in Eukaryota, Metazoa, Chordata, Mammalia, Rodentia, Muridae.